This 1669-nucleotide ribosomal RNA is filed under the name Alcanivorax sp. HI0035. RNAcentral's name for it is "bacterial LSU rRNA". It matches the Rfam family "Bacterial large subunit ribosomal RNA", at positions 1 to 1715 of the family's 2925-position model. Lineage: Bacteria; Pseudomonadati; Pseudomonadota; Gammaproteobacteria; Oceanospirillales; Alcanivoracaceae. The record is from RNAcentral.
GUUAUAUAGUCAAGUGAUUAAGCGUACACGGUGGAUGCCUUGGCAGCCAGAGGCGAUGAAGGACGUUGUAGCUUGCGAUAAGCUUCGGGGAGGUAGCAAACAACCUUUGAUCCGGAGAUUUCCGAAUGGGGAAACCCACCUGUCAUAAGGCAGGUAUCGCAUACUGAAUACAUAGGUAUGCGAGGCGAACGCGGGGAACUGAAACAUCUAAGUACCCGUAGGAACAGAAAUCAAUUGAGAUUCCGUCAGUAGCGGCGAGCGAACGCGGAUUAGCCCUUAAGUCUGUGAAAGAUUAGGAGAACGGUCUGGGAAGGCCGGCCAUAGUGGGUGAUAGCCCCGUAUCCGAAAAUCUGAUCAGGUGAAAUCGAGUAGGUCGGAGCACGUGAAACUCUGAUUGAACAUGGGGGGACCAUCCUCCAAGGCUAAAUACUCCUGGCUGACCGAUAGUGAACCAGUACCGUGAGGGAAAGGCGAAAAGAACCCCGGAGAGGGGAGUGAAAUAGAACCUGAAACCGUGUACGUACAAGCAGUCGGAGCCCUCUUUGUGGGGUGACGGCGUACCUUUUGUAUAAUGGGUCAGCGACUUAAUUUCAGUAGCGAGGUUAACCGUUUAGGGGAGCCGUAGGGAAACCGAGUCUUAAUAGGGCGUUUAGUUGCUGGGAUUAGACCCGAAACCGGGCGAUCUAUCCAUGGGCAGGUUGAAGAUGCGGUAACACGCAUUGGAGGACCGAACCGACUACCGUUGAAAAGUUAGCGGAUGACCUGUGGAUCGGAGUGAAAGGCUAAUCAAGCUCGGAGAUAGCUGGUUCUCCCCGAAAGCUAUUUAGGUAGCGCCUCGGACGAAUACCACUGGGGGUAGAGCACUGUUUCGGCUAGGGGGUCAUCCCGACUUACCAAACCGAUGCAAACUCCGAAUACCAGUGAGUACUAUCCGGGAGACACACGGCGGGUGCUAACGUCCGUCGUGAAGAGGGAAACAACCCAGACCGCCAGCUAAGGUCCCCAAAUUCCAGUUAAGUGGGAAACGAUGUGGGAAGGCUCAGACAGCUAGGAGGUUGGCUUAGAAGCAGCCACCCUUUAAAGAAAGCGUAAUAGCUCACUAGUCGAGUCGGCCUGCGCGGAAGAUGUAACGGGGCUCAAACUGGAUACCGAAGCUGCGGCAGCAGACUUGUUCUGCUGGGUAGGGGAGCGUUGUGUAAGCCUGUGAAGGUGUGUUGAGAAGCAUGCUGGAGGUAUCACAAGUGCGAAUGCUGACGUGAGUAACGAUAAUGGGGGUGAAAAACCCCCACGCCGAAAGACCAAGGUUUCCUGCGCAACGCUAAUCGGCGCAGGGUGAGUCGGCCCCUAAGGCGAGGCAGAAAUGCGUAGCUGAUGGGAAACGGGUUAAUAUUCCCGUACUUCUUAUAACUGCGAUGGAGAGACGGAGAAGGCUAUGCCUACCGGGCGUUGGUUGUCCCGGGGAAAGGCUGUAGGCUGAGGUGUUAGGCAAAUCCGGCACCUUAAGGCUGAGAGUCGAGACCACUGGUCCUUUGUGACCGGGAAGUGGUUGAUGCCAUGCUUCCAGGAAAAUCUUCUAAGCUUCAGGUUAUAAGGAACCGUACCCCAAACCGACACAGGUGGUUGGGAUGAGUAUUCUAAGGCGCUUGAGAGAACUCGGGUGAAGGAACUA